CUUCUUUUUCUCCACUCAUUCUCAGCUGAGCAACCGGUAAACUCGCCAUUAGCUACCUCUUAGCCAUCAACCAUGGGUCGCAUGCACAGUCGUGGUAAGGGUAUCUCUGCUUCUGCCCUUCCAUACAAGCGCACUCCUCCCAGCUGGCUCAAAACCUCCCCUCAAGACGUUGAGGAUAACAUCUGCAAGUUCGCAAAGAAGGGCUUGACUCCUUCACAGAUUGGCGUCAUCCUUCGUGACUCUCACGGUAUUGCUCAGGUCAAGAGCGUAACUGGCAGCAAGAUCCUUCGC
This 291-nucleotide unclassified non-coding RNA is filed under the name Hevea brasiliensis (rubber tree). Lineage: Eukaryota; Viridiplantae; Streptophyta; Magnoliopsida; Malpighiales; Euphorbiaceae. The record is from RNAcentral.